AGGAUUGGGAAUAGCUUGAAGUCUAACUUAAGCUGAAUAUAAUAUGAGUUUCUUCCUCUAGGAAGGAAACUAGUUGAUUCUUCGCUUAGGAUAAGAAGAAAAAGAAACGCGAAGGUAUGGGCUAGCGAACGAAAGCCUGGUAGCCAACAUUGAAUAGGAGAAAAAGGGAAGCCAAGAGUCAAGCCAACUUAAAGGCAGCCGCCCUUAUUGUCUAAUAGCUUUAUGAUAAGGAAACCACAUCGAAAGGGAUACCUGAUUCUGAGGCUUCAUCUAAGUCCCUUUCUAAUCAUUGCUUAACCAACUCAAAUGAUCAGCUAGGCUAACCACUGCAGUGCUGGUAGAAGGGUGACGGUGGUUGGUGAACGAUUUAGAAGAAGAUAGAAUAAUAUAAUACAGUUUCUUUUUUAUUUUUCAACGUAUUAGUUGAGAGUUGCACAUAGAAAGAGUCAGUUUUUAAUAUAAUAUUCCAGGAUUUAGGUUAUAAAAGAAGGAGAUUACUGGUUGAGUGACCAUUAAAUUAUCAAGUCCUUAGUAAAAUUCACAUGGUUGGUGGAGGGCCUUCAUUUAGGAAUGUGGAGACAAUGGAUCUUGGAAACAAGGUAUUAGAUUCGAUGAGAACUCAGUAUGGACCAUGGGCACCAAAUUAUUUUCUUUACUAUCACCCAAAGUGAUCAAGUCUAUAUUUAAUUGAUUAACAAUGAUGAGAAAACUUUAAUAUGGGUAGAGAAACCAAGUCUUCUAACUAAAAUAUAGGACCCAUUGUAAAAUCAACGUUUCGCACAACUUCUUUGUCAAUGGAAAUCACAUAACUUGUGUCUCUAAUGAAAACUCUUAUCAAAGUCUUCAACAGCAAUCAAUGGAAAACAAAGCUUCAUCAAGUUUAUUAUAAUGGGAAAUUUUAAGAAGCAACAUGGAGACCAGUACAAAAUUAACCCCUUUAAAGACACACUACAAAUGACCAAUAAAAACUUACCUACCUUUAUCUGUCACAAUGCCAUGUGUAAUUUGUAUUAUAGAAAGAUUAGAUCUACAUUGUUUUCACAAGGAUACAUAGAAUAAUUGAGCAUUACUGCCGUGGGCUUUCUUGGAAACACAGGCAAUAGCCAGAACCUGCAGGCAAGUGACCGUGCACGCAUAUGGGAGUUCUGAGUUGAAGCACAGAACUCCAGGCAUUAGAAACUCUCAUUGCAUUCACUCCCACGCCUUGGAUGACAGAGGCGGCAACUCAUUAGUAAGCAUCGCCUGCACAUUGCUGAGACCAUGAAAAGCAUCUCCCUUUGGGAUUCCCGUUCAUGAACCAAUCUCUUGAACCUUUCUUCUUCUUAAUAAGUCAAAUUGUUAAGAAGCUUAUGUAAGGCCCAGUCAAUGCCCGAUCCAUUGACCGACCCAAAAACUCGCACAAGCCCAAAAGAUCUGCACGAACUUUGGCACAAAAUGAAAAAGAAAAAAACAAAGUCUCAUGUGACUGGCACGUGAGGUGGAAGAGGACUCCCGAUAGGAGUUCACCUCCUUCCUCGAGUACUGCAGAAAAGGGACUUCUACGGCUUGUGGAAUUUCAACAAAACCCUAGGAAUCUCUCCAUAAAACUCUUCCCUUCCCCCUCUCAGCACACCACCAUCAAGAUCGCUUUCAAUCACAAUCAAUUUUGAGCAAAAAUGUUAUGGGGUUAUGUUCAAUUCCUCAUCAAUCUGGCCUUGAUAUGUCGUCGGAGUUGAGGUAAGAUGCCCAAUCUCUCUCCUUGUUAUUCUGAUUCCAAGGCUGCCAUUGACGGCCUAACUUAGUGCCGGCUAGUUGCCGGAUUUAGCUGCGAGAAGGAUCCCCUAUUUUGGAUUCUUUUCCAUAGUUUCUCGUCCACCAUGGCCCAGAGAUGCAGCCCAAGAGGGGAGGUGAAUUGAGCAUUUAAAAAAUUUAAUCAAAUGAACAUUACAAUUCAAACUUAAGAUGCAGCAAAUAUGGUUUCUUGCUUAAGUUCUUUGAAUACAAUG
Molecule: long non-coding RNA, 1985 nt
Filed under: Phoenix dactylifera (date palm)
Lineage: Eukaryota; Viridiplantae; Streptophyta; Magnoliopsida; Arecales; Arecaceae
Description: long non-coding RNA (PDAC_LNC004925)
Source: RNAcentral